UACGUAGGGGGCAAGCGUUAUCCGGAUUUACUGGGCGUAAAGGGAGCGCAGGCGGCAUGGCAAGUCUGAUGUGAAAGCCCGGGGCCCAACCCCGGGUCUGCAUUGGAAACUGUGGUGCUGGAGUGUCGGAGGGGCAGGCGGAAUUCCUAGUGUAGCGGUGAAAUGCGCAGAUAUUAGGAGGAACACCGGUGGCGAAGGCGGCCUGCUGGACGAUGACUGACGCUGAGGCUCGAAAGCGUGGGGAGCAAAC
This 250-nucleotide ribosomal RNA is filed under the name uncultured prokaryote. RNAcentral describes it as "partial 16S ribosomal RNA". It matches the Rfam family "Bacterial small subunit ribosomal RNA", at positions 524 to 773 of the family's 1533-position model. The record is from RNAcentral.